GCUCAAAGAAGCUGAGGGACGGUCAGCACCUCAGGCAAGGGGCUUUGGAGCUGAGCACAGCCCCUUAGCAGCACUCAGGGUCCUCCAGCAGUGACCCAGUGCCCGCAUCUAUGCCAGCCCACAGUGCUAGUAUCCCUCGCAUUCAGCUUCUGUGUGGGGAGAAGCUUGGCCUCCUGCCCAAGACCCCAACUGUGGAGGAGGGAGGUGCCAUCAUCUCCCUAAAAGUAAGGUCACGGGGAGUCCCAUGGUCUGAGGCCUGAGUGAGGCCACGGUCAGCGAUCUCUCCCUUUUCUGCCAAAGAUGGAGCCCCCCAUGCAGAGAACAUAGGUCCUCAUAUGGAGGAAACUCAGACCUCUCCCCACAGCAAGGAAGAGAAGCCCCUGAAUGAAUGGGGAGCAGGAAAUGGCCAGGAAUCAUCACAUCAAAGUCUCUAUGAAAAACCAAACUCGCCUCCAGAGAGCACUUUCAAUACAGACCACCAAAAUGGCCACCGUCACCUGAGAGCCAGGGAAGCAGGAGAUGCUGUCUACCUGAAACACUGAGUACUUUUGAGGAGGAGAUGAAGACAUUCCACAAUGACAGCACGGUUCAGGAGAAGGAGGCUCAGUGCUGCAAGUACAGAUGGAAGCCCUCAGUGCCUAAACCCCAGGGCCUGUUCUGUGAUGCCCUCUGACCCCAUCUCAUAUAAAGGCUCAUCUGGAGGGACUCCUGGGUUUUCAUUCACUCUGCAUUCCUUCACUCAUUCAUUCCUUCAGCAAAUAUCCUUUUGUUCCAUCCUUUUGGUCCUUGCUGUGUCUGAGCACACACUCAUCAGGAGAAUUGCAGUCUGGGAAGAGUUCCUUAC
RNAcentral lists this long non-coding RNA (844 nucleotides) under Equus caballus (horse). Its description in RNAcentral is "lncRNA (ENSECAG00000052897.1)". Lineage: Eukaryota; Metazoa; Chordata; Mammalia; Perissodactyla; Equidae. The record is from RNAcentral.